Molecule: long non-coding RNA, 502 nt
Filed under: Physcomitrium patens
Lineage: Eukaryota; Viridiplantae; Streptophyta; Bryopsida; Funariales; Funariaceae
Description: long non-coding RNA (PPAT_LNC013428)
Source: RNAcentral
UGAACUUCGGCAAGCUGUGACCCUCAAUUUGUCCUUCCGACUUGUUAUGAAACAUCUAUCGCUAGUGUCUCUGCAAGUCCUUUCGAAUGCUCAAGAAGUUCCAGUUCAACCUCGCUUACAGAUUGUGAGGCUAUGUUGCAAUCUACACCGAUGUCCCUUGGCCGCUUGCUGAUAUUCCUCUUAUCCCUGUCGGGAGGUCUCCAAUUAUUAUAGAAACCCUAAACAACCUCAAAUUGCCAACUUCCAAUACCUCUUUAAACUGUUGGCAGAUAUCCUCUAUCCGUAUAGUUAGAUUAACACAAUCACGCAUGCAUUCAGCAUACUCAACCUUCUAGACAACUCUGAAUUUCAACCACAGAAGUAUCUCCCAUUCCAUCAAUAAUCAAGAGUAUCAGCCUUUUCUCCCUUCCGGAAAAAUCCAGUUCACCAAUAUAACACUGACUUUCAGCAACCAUCCUCUCAGUCUCUCCAAAAUCCUAUAUAAAAAAAAACCCCAAUUCUC